Molecule: transfer RNA, 71 nt
Filed under: Marmota monax (woodchuck)
Lineage: Eukaryota; Metazoa; Chordata; Mammalia; Rodentia; Sciuridae
Description: tRNA.Pro
Source: RNAcentral
GGGGUUGUAGCUCAGUGGUAGAUCAUUUGCCCAGGAUGUAUGAGGUACUGGGUUCAAUUCUCAGCACCACA